UACGGAGGGGGCUAGCGUUGUUCGGAAUUACUGGGCGUAAAGCGCGCGUAGGCGGAACGUUAAGUCCGGUCUGAAAGCCCCCGGCUCAACCGGGGAGGGUGGCUGGAAACUGGCGUUCUUGAGGGCGAGAGAGGAGGGUGGAAUUCCUGGUGUAGCGGUGAAAUGCGUAGAGAUCAGGAGGAACACCCGGGGCGAAGGCGGCCCUCUGGCUCGACCCUGACGCUGAGGCGCGAAAGCGUGGGGAGCGAACGGG
RNAcentral lists this ribosomal RNA (253 nucleotides) under uncultured bacterium. RNAcentral describes it as "partial 16S ribosomal RNA". It matches the Rfam family "Bacterial small subunit ribosomal RNA", at positions 524 to 776 of the family's 1533-position model. The record is from RNAcentral.